GCAAUUCUUAAGGCUUCUGCCUUGAAAUGACAGUGUGUGAGAGAACAGCAGGAAGACUACUCGAUGUUGAAUUUCCUGCCACCAAACUCAGAGUGUAGUGUGUAAGGAGCAUGGAAAUCAUUUUAUCUUAACAAGAAGUAAAAAGCUGAACAAACUGGAAAAUCAACAACUCUUCUUAAAGAUCUGUAAGAGAAGUGAGACACAAGAAAAACCACUGCCCCCAAACUGGAAAGACAGACAGGUGGAUACAGAGAAUCACAACUUGCUGAAAGCAGAAACCCAUAAGCACAAACCUCUGUGAAAACCUGUGUCCGGGUAAGGAAG
Molecule: long non-coding RNA, 324 nt
Filed under: Homo sapiens (human)
Lineage: Eukaryota; Metazoa; Chordata; Mammalia; Primates; Hominidae
Description: non-protein coding lnc-SHPRH-9:1
Source: RNAcentral